GGGAUUGCCUCAGUAACGGCGAGUGAAGCGGCAACAGCUCAAAUUUGAAAUCUGGCCCCUUCGGGGUCCGAGUUGUAAUUUGUAGAGAGUGCUUCGGGUGAGACUGCGGUCUAAGUCCAUUGGAACAUGGCGUCCCAGAGGGUGAGAAUCCCGUAUGUGACCGCGGCUCGAGCCCAUGUGAAGCCUCUUCGACGAGUCGAGUUGUUUGGGAAUGCAGCUCUAAAUGGGUGGUAAAUUUCAUCUAAAGCUAAAUACUGGCUGGAGACCGAUAGCGCACAAGUAGAGUGAUCGAAAGAUGAAAAGCACUUUGGAAAGAGGGUUAAACAGUACGUGAAAUUGUUGAAAGGGAAGCGCUGGCAACCAGACCUGUCCGUAGGCGAUCACCCGUUGUUCUCAGCGGUGCACUCGUUCUGCGAUCAGGCCAGCAUCGGUUCGGGCGGGCGGAUAAAGGUCUUGGGAAUGUAGCUUCCCUCUCGGGGGAGUCUUAUAGCCCUCGAUGCAAUGCGCCCAGCCGGGACCGAGGACCGCGCUUCGGCUAGGAUGCUGGCGUAAUGGUUGUCAGCGACCCGUCUUGAAACACGGACCAAGGAGUCUAACAUUUAUGCGAGUGUUUGGGUGUCAAACCCAUGCGCGAAAUGAAAGUGAACGGAGGUGAGAACCCUUAAGGGCGCAUCAUCGACCGAUCCAGAUGUCUUCGGAUGGAUUUGAGUAUGAGCA
RNAcentral lists this ribosomal RNA (717 nucleotides) under Melanohalea subelegantula. RNAcentral describes it as "LSU rRNA". It matches the Rfam family "Eukaryotic large subunit ribosomal RNA", at positions 71 to 802 of the family's 3401-position model. Lineage: Eukaryota; Fungi; Ascomycota; Lecanoromycetes; Lecanorales; Parmeliaceae. The record is from RNAcentral.